RNAcentral lists this ribosomal RNA (254 nucleotides) under uncultured bacterium. RNAcentral's name for it is "partial 16S ribosomal RNA". It matches the Rfam family "Bacterial small subunit ribosomal RNA", at positions 524 to 776 of the family's 1533-position model. The record is from RNAcentral.
GACGUAGGGUGCAAGCGUUGUCCGGAUUUACUGGGCGUAAAGAGCGCGUAGGCGGUCUGUUAAGUGAGAAGUGAAAUCUCCAGGGCUCAACCCGGAAACUGCUUUUCAUACUGGCAGACUUGAGGGAUGCAGAGGUUUGUGGAAUUCCUGGUGUAGCGGUGAAAUGCGUUGAUAUCAGGAGGAACACCCAUGGCGAAGGCAGCAAACUGGGCAUCAUCUGACGCUGAGGCGCGAAAGCGUGGGGAGCGAACAGG